This 492-nucleotide ribosomal RNA is filed under the name uncultured bacterium. Its description in RNAcentral is "partial 16S ribosomal RNA". It matches the Rfam family "Bacterial small subunit ribosomal RNA", at positions 29 to 507 of the family's 1533-position model. The record is from RNAcentral.
AGUGAACGCUGGCGGUAGGCCUAACACAUGCAAGUCGAACGGCAGCACAGUAAGAGCUUGCUCUUACGGGUGGCGAGUGGCGGACGGGUGAGGAAUACAUCGGAAUCUACUUUUUCGUGGGGGAUAACGUAGGGAAACUUACGCUAAUACCGCAUACGACCUACGGGUGAAAGCAGGGGAUCUUCGGACCUUGCGCGAUUGAAUGAGCCGAUGUCGGAUUAGCUAGUUGGCGGGGUAAAGGCCCACCAAGGCGACGAUCCGUAGCUGGUCUGAGAGGAUGAUCAGGCACACUGGAACUGAGACACGGUCCAGACUCCUACGGGAGGCAGCAGUGGGGAAUAUUGGACAAGGGGCGCAAGCCUGAUCCAGCCAUACCGCGUGGGUGAAGAAGGCCUUCGGGUUGUAAAACCCUUUUGUUGGGAAAGAAAAGCAGCAGGUUAAUACCCCGCUGUUCUGACGGUACCCAAAGAAUAAGCACCGGCUAACUUCGUG